GGCAGGUAGAGAGAGAGAAAGCGAGCGGGUCCCAGUCUGUGCGGCCGGCGCUCUCAUCAGUCCCUGCCUCCUCGCUCCAAGAAUUUCGGAGCGCGGCCAAGGCCAGGCUGGGUUCGAGUCUCGGCGGGAUGCAGAACUCAGGGAUGCGAUCAGGGUUUUUCUCAGGAGACAAGCUGCUGUUGGCUCUACAAGUGACAUCUCAGAGAGCCUGCAGUUCCAAAGAGGACAGAUCAGAGCUCACGAUCAGAGAAUUUGGUUCAUCUUCAGUAACACCUUAGAAGCAUUUCCUGUGGAAGACUUCUUGCAAACAGGAGAGAUGUGUCCUUACGUGACUGGUUCCCUGUGACCACGUUAAGCCUUAUGUUUUACUUAACACGGAAGUGUGAGCCGUCCAGUACUUGGGAGGAUAGUUCAACAGGGUCAGGCCAAGUACCUGGACACGGAAAUAUCCGCAGAGGAAGACUGUGGCCAUUCGAGCUCACAGCGUGAGCCACAGAACAUCCGGUCAUGGAGCUGGAAAACAAUUCAGUGAAGCAGACAUAAACAGGGCCCAUAUGGGAGAGACCAGAGGUAUGCACAGAGUGAAAAGAAACGAACACUUUAAAGCAGACUCACACACCUGUGUAUAGAAGGCUGCAUUUCAAGGAAAGGAAGAAGAGGUUAUGACCAAUAAAAUGCAAGUAUUCUGGCUUAUACA
Molecule: long non-coding RNA, 697 nt
Filed under: Oryctolagus cuniculus (rabbit)
Lineage: Eukaryota; Metazoa; Chordata; Mammalia; Lagomorpha; Leporidae
Description: lncRNA (ENSOCUG00000033176.1)
Source: RNAcentral